GAGCCGGUAGCUCAGCUUGGUAGAGCACUUGACUUUUAAUCAAGUGGUCGCGAGUUCAAAUCUCGUCCGGCUCGCCA
This 77-nucleotide transfer RNA is filed under the name Candidatus Woesearchaeota archaeon. Its description in RNAcentral is "tRNA-Lys". It matches the Rfam family "tRNA". From Rfam's summary of the family: Transfer RNA (tRNA) molecules are approximately 80 nucleotides in length. Their secondary structure includes four short double-helical elements and three loops (D, anti-codon, and T loops). Lineage: Archaea; Nanobdellati; Candidatus Woesearchaeota. The record is from RNAcentral. RNAcentral also lists the same sequence under 1 other name.